GAUCCUGGCUCAGGAUGAACGCUGGCGGCGUGCCUAACACAUGCAAGUCGAACGAAGCACUUUUUUACGAUCCCUUCGGGGUGACGAAUUUGUGACUGAGUGGCGGACGGGUGAGUAACGCGUGGGAAACCUGCCUUGUACCGGGGGAUUGCAGUUGGAAACGACUGAUAAUACCGCAUAAGCGCACAGUAUCACAUGAUACAGUGUGAAAAACUCCGGUGGUACAAGAUGGUCCCGCGUCUGAUUAGCUUGUUGGCGGGGUAAUGGCCCACCAAGGCGACGAUCAGUAGCCGACCUGAGAGGGUGACCGGCCACAUUGGGACUGAGACACGGCCCAAACUCCUACGGGAGGCAGCAGUGGGGAAUAUUGCACAAUGGAGGAAACUCUGAUGCAGCGACGCCGCGUGAGCGAAGAAGUAUUUCGGUAUGUAAAGCUCUAUCAGCAGGGAAGACAAUGACGGUACCUGACUAAGAAGCACCGGCUAAAUACGUG
This 493-nucleotide ribosomal RNA is filed under the name uncultured bacterium. RNAcentral's name for it is "bacterial SSU rRNA". It matches the Rfam family "Bacterial small subunit ribosomal RNA", at positions 15 to 507 of the family's 1533-position model. The record is from RNAcentral.